This is a long non-coding RNA of Dermacentor albipictus, 549 nucleotides long. RefSeq lists it as uncharacterized. The record is from RefSeq and is a predicted model, not a curated record. Lineage: Eukaryota; Metazoa; Arthropoda; Arachnida; Ixodida; Ixodidae.
UUAAGAUUGCUCGCAAAACUCACCUGAACUUCCAAGUGGGAAACACAUGAAGGCGAUAGCCAAGCAACUUCCUACCCUGUUUUUUCUUUGGUACCUGCAUUGCACUCCUGGUUACAGCAGACCAAGGGCCUGUUAUUUUGGACCAGAAUAUGGCAAGUGCACGCAUAAAAACGAAUCACGCCUUUAUUACGACAAUAAAUUGCGUGCGUGUAAAUAUUUUACCUACGGUAGAUGUGGCGGAAAUGGCAAUAAUUUCAGAAGUAUCCAAUUAUGCGCUCGUCGAUGUGCACAUUACCAGAUUUCCAGGGACUUAUGUCAAAGAACGCCAGGGUACACUGUUUGCCUAUUCAGCAAUGAUUGGGAAUGGAUGUGGUAUUACAGCGCGACUGAUCAGAAGUGUUACCAGUUUAGACAUGGGAAGUGCGGCUCCCUCUAUAUGAACGUAUUCCCAACUUGUGAGGAAUGUGUCGAAAGAUGCAAACAUCACAUGUAUUACCUGCAAGAAUGUCCUGCGCGACAUCGAAGCCAUAACAGAACAUCAGGUGCCGC